AGAGUUUGAUCCUGGCUCAGGACGAACGCUAGCGGCGCGCCUAAGGUAUGCAAGUCGAACGGACCCGCAAGGGUUAGUGGCGAACGGUCGAGUAACACGUAGACAACCUACCGGCAAGUGGGGGAUAACAGCGGGAAACUGCUGCUAAUACCGCAUGUGGCCUUCUCUAGCAUUAGAGAAGGGCUAAAGGAGCAAUUCGCUUGCCAAUGGGUCUGCGGCCUAUCAGGUAGUUGGCGGGGUAACAGCCCACCAAGCCGACGACGGGUAGCUGGUCUGAGAGGAUGAUCAGCCGGACGGGGACUGAGACACGGCCCCGACUCCUUCGGGAGGCAGCAAUGAGGAAUCUUGCACUAUGGGGGAAACCCUGAUGCAGCGACGCCGCGUGGGUGAAGAAGUUCUUCGGAAUGUAAAGCCCUUUUAAUCGGGACGAACAACAUGACGGUACCGAUUGAAUAAGCCCCGGCUAACUACGUGCCAGCAGCCGCGGUAAUACGUAGGGGGCGAGCGUUGUCCGGAUUUACUGGGCGUAAAGAGCGCGUAGGCGGAAGCUUAAGUGUGGCCUGAAAGCCCCCGGCUCAACCGGGGAAGGUGGCUGCAAACUGGGCUUCUUGAGGGGGAUAGGGGAAAGUGGAAUUCCGGGUGUAGCGGUGAAAUGCGUAGAGAUCCGGAGGAACACCAGUGGCGAAGGCGGCUUUCUGGGUCCGCCCUGACGCUGAGGCGCGAAAGCGUGGGGAGCGAACGGGAUUAGAUACCCCGGUAGUCCACGCCGUAAACGAUGGUCACUAGGUGUGUGCGGUAUCGACCCCGCACGUGCCGUCGCAAACGCAUUAAGUGACCCGCCUGGGGAGUACGGCCGCAAGGUUGAAACUCAAAGGAAUUGACGGGGGCCCGCACAAGCGGUGGAGCAUGUGGAUUAAUACGUCACUAACCGUAGAACCUUACCCAGGCUUGACAUCUGUAGAACUCCCUUGAAAGGGGGAGGUGCUUCGCAAGAAGAGCUACAAGACAGGUGUUGCAUGGCUGUCGUCAGCUCGUGUCGUGAGAUGUUGGGUUAAGUCCCGCAACGAGCGCAACCCUCACCGUAUGUUGCCAGCGUAAAGUCGGGCACUCUUACGGAACUGCCCGGGUAACCGGGAGGAAGGUGGGACGACGUCAAGUCAGCAUGGCCCUUACGCCUGGGGCUUCACACAUACUACAAUGGCCGGUACAAAGGGCUCCGAUACCGCGAGGUGGAGGCAAUCCCAAAAAGCCGGUCUCAGUUCGGAUCGCAGGCUGCAACUCGCCUGCGUGAAGUUGGAAUCGCUAGUAACGGCCGGUCAGCUAAACGGCCGUGAAUACGUUCCCGGGCCUUGUACACACCGCCCGUCACGUCACCUGAGUCUGUUGCACCCGAAGCACUUGGCCCAACCCGCAAGGGAGGGAGGGUGCGAAGGUGUGGCCGGUAAGGGGGACGAAGUCGUAACAAGGUA
This 1469-nucleotide ribosomal RNA is filed under the name metagenome. RNAcentral describes it as "bacterial SSU rRNA". It matches the Rfam family "Bacterial small subunit ribosomal RNA". The record is from RNAcentral.